This 164-nucleotide small nuclear RNA is filed under the name Monodelphis domestica (gray short-tailed opossum). RNAcentral describes it as "U1 spliceosomal RNA (ENSMODG00000026883.1)". It matches the Rfam family "U1 spliceosomal RNA". From Rfam's summary of the family: U1 is a small nuclear RNA (snRNA) component of the spliceosome (involved in pre-mRNA splicing). Its 5' end forms complementary base pairs with the 5' splice junction, thus defining the 5' donor site of an intron. There are significant differences in sequence and secondary structure between metazoan and yeast U1 snRNAs, the latter being much longer (568 nucleotides as compared to 164 nucleotides in human). The record is from RNAcentral. Lineage: Eukaryota; Metazoa; Chordata; Mammalia; Didelphimorphia; Didelphidae.
AUGGUUGUUGUGGGGAUUAAAUGAGACAAUGCAAGAAGCUGGUUUUCCCAGGGCAAGGCUUAUCCAUUGCAUUCCUAAUGGGCUGACCCCUGUAAUUGCCCCAAAUGCAGAAAAUUCACUGCAUAAUUUGUGGUAAUAGGGAACUGAAUUCCAGCUUUUCCCUG